AUGAACGCUGGCGGCGUGCCUAAUACCUGCAAGUCGAGCGAACAGACGAGGAGCUUGCUCCUUUGACGUUAGCGGCGGACGGGUGAGUAACACGUAGGUAACCUACCUAUAAGACUGGGAUAACUUCGGGAAACCGGAGCUAAUACCGGAUAAUAUUUCGAACCGCAUGGUUCGAUAGUGAAAGAUGGCUUUGCUAUCACUUAUAGAUGGACCUGCGCCGUAUUAGCUAGUUGGUAAGGUAACGGCUUACCAAGGCAACGAUACGUAGCCGACCUGAGAGGGUGAUCGGCCACACUGGAACUGAGACACGGUCCAGACUCCUACGGGAGGCAGCAGUAGGGAAUCUUCCGCAAUGGGCGAAAGCCUGACGGAGCAACGCCGCGUGAGUGAUGAAGGCCUUCGGAUCGUAAAACUCUGUUAUUAGGGAAGAACAAACGUGUAAGUAACUGUGCACGUCUUGACGGUACCUAAUCAGAAAGCCACGGCUAACUACGUG
Molecule: ribosomal RNA, 496 nt
Filed under: uncultured bacterium
Lineage: Bacteria
Description: partial 16S ribosomal RNA
Rfam family: Bacterial small subunit ribosomal RNA
Source: RNAcentral